Eptesicus fuscus (big brown bat) is the source of this 629-nucleotide long non-coding RNA. RefSeq lists it as uncharacterized. NCBI's taxonomy places the organism in Eukaryota, Metazoa, Chordata, Mammalia, Chiroptera, Vespertilionidae. The transcript has 4 exons. The record is from RefSeq and is a predicted model, not a curated record.
GUUUCAGGCAUCCACGGGGGCUCUUGGCUUGUACCCACCAUGGAUAAGGGGGAACUACUGAAACUCACAUACAUGAAAGAAUCAGAGACCUCACAUAUGUGAGAGGUCCCGAGACAGAAAGGAAAAAUGAGUAAGCCACCCAAAAUGGACCACUGCUAAUUGCCAGACACUGGGCUGAACAUUUAUAGAGUCAUUAUCUCAUUUAGUCCUCAUCACAAGCUAUGGGUAACUGGAGGAUGAUCCUGCCGUCAACUAACAGGGAAUAAAGGAAAUGCAUAUUUUGUGGAGAAAAUCAGUUCUGAUUUAAAAAAACUAGUAACAUUUAUAGCUGUGCAGACAACUAUAACUGGCCAAUACACAUGACAAUAUGCUCAACCUCACCACUGACUAAAGAAUAGAAGUUAAAACAAGAUAAUUUACUUUGAACAUCGACACAGAGAAGAUUGAAGAUAUAGAGUAUUGGCAAGGACAUUCAUGGGGCUAUAAUUUGUACAAUCAUUUUGGUGGGCAAUUUGGAAAGGUUUACUGAAAUAGUUAAUGCAUUUUCUGCUUGACCCCCAUCGUUCCACUUCAAUAAAUUUAUUUGACAGCUGGCAAAAAUAAACACACCUGAACUGAAGCAUCGUAUU